AUUGAACGCUGGCGGCAUGCCUUACACAUGCAAGUCGAACGGUAACGGGCCUUCGGGUGCCGACGAGUGGCGCACGGGUGAGUAAUACAUCGGAACGUGCCCGAUCGUGGGGGAUAACGAGGCGAAAGCUUUGCUAAUACCGCAUACGAUCUACGGAUGAAAGCAGGGGACCGCAAGGCCUUGCGCGGACGGAGCGGCCGAUGGCAGAUUAGGUAGUUGGUGGGAUAAAAGCUUACCAAGCCGACGAUCUGUAGCUGGUCUGAGAGGAUGAUCAGCCACACUGGGACUGAGACACGGCCCAGACUCCUACGGGAGGCAGCAGUGGGGAAUUUUGGACAAUGGGCGCAAGCCUGAUCCAGCCAUGCCGCGUGCAGGAUGAAGGCCUUCGGGUUGUAAACUGCUUUUGUACGGAACGAAAAGCCUUCUUUUAAUACAGGAGGGUCAUGACGGUACCGUAAGAAUAAGCACCGGCAAACUACGUG
Molecule: ribosomal RNA, 482 nt
Filed under: uncultured bacterium
Lineage: Bacteria
Description: partial 16S ribosomal RNA
Rfam family: Bacterial small subunit ribosomal RNA
Source: RNAcentral